UACGAUGGGGGCUAGCGUUGUUCGGAUUUACUGGGCGUAAAGCGCACGUAGGCGGAUCUUUAAGUCAGAGGUGAAAUCCCAAGGCUCAACCUUGGAACUGCCUUUGAUACUGGGGAUCUUGAGUCCGGGAGAGGUGAGUGGAACUGCGAGUGUAGAGGUGAAAUUCGUAGAUAUUCGCAAGAACACCAGUGGCGAAGGCGGCUCACUGGCCCGGUACUGACGCUGAGGUGCGAAAGCGUGGGUAGCGAACGGG
RNAcentral lists this ribosomal RNA (253 nucleotides) under uncultured bacterium. RNAcentral's name for it is "partial 16S ribosomal RNA". It matches the Rfam family "Bacterial small subunit ribosomal RNA", at positions 524 to 776 of the family's 1533-position model. The record is from RNAcentral.